GGUAGCGGAGGGGCGUUAUUUCUAGAAACAAUGUAUAUUAAUAGACAAGAUAAUUCACAAAAAAGGAAGGACAGUUGGUCUUGUAAAAAAUAUAGGGAUAUAAAAUAUAGGGAUAAUUCUAAAAGUAAAUAGAAUAUUACACAUACCUAGAUUAUGGUAAAAGUAAUAAGUAGUGGCAUUUUGAACACUAGAGCAAAAGUUUAAGAAGCUUAGGACUUAGUUUUGUUAGGAUUGGACAUUCUUUCAACUGGAAGACACUUGACUGAUUACAUGUCAUCCUUACAGCAGUUGCUGUAGGGACCAUAAUUUGGCUAUCUUUAUGAAUAUUUUUGUGGCAAGAGGCCAGGUAUUUGAGACAAAAUGUUGACAUAGGGCGGUUAUUUAAAAAUUAAGAUUUAGGGGUCUUGCUAUAAGAAAAAGUCUGUUGUCAGGAAGUAACCCAUGUGUUUUAGUGUGUAUUUCCCCAGGAAAAAACAGCACAUAAGAGGCCAGAUGGAAGGGCAUGGGCUGAAUUCUGGAGACUGAGUGUACAUCAAGAUACACCGGGCUGGGGAUAUACUUCUUACAGCUCUUGCAGUGGUAAAGAUCGUCAUGUCUCUCUUUUGUGCGUGCAUAAGUUUCACAAGAAGUAAGGACCAGCUGAAUAAUGGGUGAGCUUGAAAACACCAUGACAGAGGACGUGAAACAAAAGAGAGAGAGAGAGAGAGAGAGAGAGAAAGACUAGAUUCCACUGUAGAGAUACUGGGUUGAGUUAGGGGUUACUUGUUUUAUUUGUUAAUGUAUCAUGUGAAAAAGGAUAGAUGUUAGGGUAGUUGUACUCUAAACAACAUGUUGAAGGCUCGGAGUGAAAGCCCAUUCAGUGUUGAAUUACUUCAAGAAUAAAUAAUGUUGACUGAGGUUAUGCACAUGCUUAUCAGUUGAAACAAGCAGGAUGCACGGAGUAGGAUGGACUCAUGUAUUGUGUGUGUAUAAAGUCAGAGCGAGUGCUCUGAAAAAGUGUGAGUUCCACGGACCACUCCGGCUUGCGAUAUCUUUUUAUUUAAAGCCUAAUGAAUUUCACAGAGUUCUUGAUUGCGUCAUAUUUGAACCAAUUUUCCACGACAACAGUCACUGAGCUCUUCAGAAAGGCGAUUCGACCAACAACAUUAUUGAUUAGAACCAUUUAUUCUAAUACUAUUAUGUUAUGGUAUGAAAAGUAAAAGUUAUUGGUUAAGCUGUUACUGAAAAUGUAAGCAGAAUGAAUGAAUUGUCUGGGCCUCUUGGGCAGUUAACGGGAGGAGCGAGGUUAUGGCUUGUCCUACAGAUAAGAAAUGUCUGGAAGACGUUCCAGGCCUGAUGAACAAUGGGCCCUUGUGAGAAUCGGAGAGAGGGGGGAUAAACUGAUGAUGUCAUGUUCAGUUUAUAACCUGUGGAAAAAUGUGUAUGCUUCAGUACUCUCUGGAAUUAAACGCUCUUUACCUGGCUUUUAAGACUGGUCUCGAUCUACUUCAUGCAUAAUUAAUGAACUUACAAUUCAUUAAUGAAUUAGAAAUGAGUGCUAAUUGAUUUUGGCAAUUAAAGCAUAAAGGAAUUUAGAAUUCCUCUAUCAAUUUGGUCCUUCGAUGUGCCGGAUCUAAAUAACGCUCACUGUGCCUGAAGAUAAUACGCUGAAAAUCGUGCAGGGACGAGUUUUUGACUCGUUUUACUAAAGACCUGACCUCUGAAUUGAGGUUAAAAUUGAAACAGGCCUGCGUAUUAUCACAGAGGACAGGGAGGGUGACUAGAUUCAAACGAACAAUGUUUUCCCAGCCGGCAGCAGGUAAAGUAGCCUUUAUUCUCGAGUCUGGGGGAUUUGAGCUCUUUAAUUGAUGUUCUGAAAUUUUCAGAAAUCAUCAAUAAUGGGGGCCUUGCUAUUCCCACAGGGUAUGUAUGACCAUCAUACACUGGGUUUUGUAUAACCGAUAUACACUGAAGCAGGUUCGAAAAUAACCUGUGGUAAUGUGCACUACCGAAAAUAAACUAAAACUUAGUCAUGAGUGGCACACCAGCCCGAGAUUAAGAAGGGAUAUUAAAUAGGUACUGGGAGAUAGGACGGUGAGUUUGUACAAAUACUGGGCGUAGAGAGACGGCAAGCGCAAGAUAACUGGAUUGGUCAUUUGAAUAGUGGCAGUAUUGAUCACCGUUCCGAUCCAACUAAUACUACGGAAAAUAUCCAAAUAAGGAGGAGAGGGAACUUAAAUGAGAUAAAAGCCAUAUUGUUUAGACAUGACAGUUCCAGGCGAGAGGGAAGUUUAACAAAUAGUGGCGUGAGAUAACGAUUAUUAGCGUUCUUUAAAAGCCCUCUGACACAACCGGAAAAUACUAGGGCUUUACAAACCCUGGGCUUAUGGUUGUAAGGUUAGACCUAAUGUUUGUUUCAAAAGUCAAAGCUAUUGGUAAGAUUUCCAUAAAAGAGCUAAACUUAAAUCAUGAGAAACGCACCCGACCGAGAUGGAAAAUACAUACUGAUUAUUUUUAAAGGGACACACACAUAGGCAAGCAGAAUAGUAACUAGAAGUAACUAAGUAACGGUAAAUUACAAAUUUAUAGAAUUGCACGCACAUAGAAUUUAAAAUGAUAUAGAAAGGCAUAGAUAAGUGUUUAAAGACCAUAGCUACUAGUAACGGCAAGGAUUAAGAAUGGGGAGAAAUGCCUCGAAAAGAAGUUGUCUAGAUGUCGGAGUAACAAAUACAGAUAACUGUGAAAAUGGGUAUAUUUGCGGAGAGUCUCAGUCAAUUCCAUUGUACUAGUGGGGGAGUGGUGAGCGCGACAGUCUCACCAACGGUAAUCCACGGUUCGGUUCCCGUUUAACUAAAAUUGAUUUUAGAUCGUAAUUGACCUAUUUGCAUGUUUUGCCUGAAAAAUACGGUCGCCAGUGUUUGCAAAAGAUAUAACUGAACGGAUAUUAUGUGUUCUAGAUAGAAUUGAUAAAAGAAGUCAUUAAAAAUAAUGGCGAGACAAUUUCUAUGUAAAACGCUAUUUCGCCCAAAAUGAUCUGGUGGAAUGUAUUGAGAUAGGAGUCGUAAUUAAAUAGAUGUAUCAUAAAAGAGAGAGAGUUACCUAAAGUUAAAUGGAGGAGAUAACGGAGAGAUACAAUACUAUUCCAGCCUGCCUGGACGUUAUGGCUAUUUAGGAAUCAUUUGACAUGAGAAGUUAAACACAAAAACAUGGUACGUUUAAUGUUAGGGUAUAGUAAAUUGAGAAGUUCGGUUGGGUUUACUCUGAUGAUUAGAAUUUAAAACUGAACUCAAACUGAACUCAAUCUGAAUAGGGAAUAUAUAUUUUACAAAGGCGGGCAGAUUUGUGUCUAUAGCCAAGCAACGGAAUUGCUAGACACUCAAUGGGGCUAUAUAGUGCAACGCUUUGGGCUAUAAAUUAGGUAAGAAUAGUUUAAUCGUAAGAAGUUGUGAUUGUUUUUCUGAUUAUUGAUCUUUGGUUAAGGUAACACCAGUGAAUUUGAACAAAAAGUAACGUAUUCUAAAAAUGAUCUGAUUUCCGUUCUCGUUGCGGGGAACAAAUGAAAAGUCUUAUCUUAAAGGGACAGUGCACAGUAAUCACAGUGGUUUGAGUGUAUGACAGUGGGAAAAAAUAUUGUGGGACGACAAUUCGAAGAGAGAAAAAUAAGUUACAUGAUACAUCAAGAGAUUUAAAACGAACAACGUGAAGGGAUCAUAAGAAUUAUUGGGUAUUGUUGUAGGAGUAAAUGUUUUGGUUAACCUCUUCAGUCGACCCUCUACUUUUUUGAACAUUCUGUUAAAAAUCGCGCAACAUUUCAGCGCCCUGCUACUCAUGCCAGGAAUAUAGUAUAUGCAUUUGCUUAGUCUGUGUGGAUAGAAAACACUCAGACGUUUAAAAAACUGGUUAAAUCACUGCUGUGGCUUUACCAGAACGGCAUUUACAUCGAAAAGCACAGGAAAAACUGAUCACUGAAAAUGGGGAAAAUAUAUCCAUGCGCUACUUGAACCCAUUGAUAAACGUGAACCACAAUUAAUUGACUGAGGUUGCAGUACCUACAGCUUCCACAGGGUGUCUAGAGUCUUGUCAUUUCCCUUCGAGUUUUUUCUUGGUCAAACACAUACAGGACACCGUAUCUAAUCCGGUCUAGGACCGGAUAUUUUCGUUGAGUUUCUAGCCGGACAUUUUUCCAGACGGACAGCUAAUGAUCUUUACAUCGCCUCCUGAUGGAUUUUAUCACUUAUUAACGUUUACUAAUACCUAAAGUUGCAUUACAAACGUAUUUCGAAGUGUUUUGUGAAAGUUUAUCGUCGACUUUUUGAAUUUUAAAAAAUGACGUUACGUUUUGAAACUAUGUUUUUUUCGUUUAUCACACAGUCUACAUAUAACGAUAUCUAGGCUUUAUAUGGACCGAUUUAAUCGAAAUAAAGACCCAAAUAGUGUUUAUGGGACAUCUAGGAGUGCCAACAAAGAAGAUGGUGAAAGGUAAUGAAUGUUUUCUAUUUUAUUGUGCGGUUUGUGUAACGCCGAAAUGCUAAUUUUUGUUUACAUCCCCUGUGGGUCUUUUGGGGUGUUGCAUGCUAUCAGAUAAUAGCUUCUCAUGCUUUCGCCGAAAAGCAUUUUAAAAAUCUGACUUGUUGCCUGGAUUCACAACGAGUGUAGCUUUAAUUCGAUACCCUGCAUGUGUAUUUUAAUGAACUUUUGAGUUUUAACUAAUACUAUUAGCAUUUAGCGUAGCGCAUUUGCAUUUCCAGAGCUCUAGUUGGGACGCAAGCGUCCCGAGUAGAAGCAACAGGUUAAGGGGAUUUCCCUGUUCCCAGAGACAAGGCAUUUUUAAGGCGAGCACUCACUAAUGCUGGUCUGACUUUGUAAUUAGACAAGUGAAUAACGUAUUGGGAAUAGAGUUGUAAUUAAAAUACUAAGUCAAAGACGAGACAGGUAUUUAGAGCAAAAUGGAUUCUAAAUGAUAACAAAGAGACCAUUAUGAUUUAUGCCCAUCGAAAAGCUUUUAUAAAAUUGGCGAAUUUAGAGAUGUUGGUUGGGGUGGUAAAUUAUAAUUCAGGAUUUGAACAGAUGUGAAAAAUUAGGUUUGGUUAAUCGAACAAGAAUUAUUGACAAUUCAUUUGAAGUCGCUACGAAUUGGCAGGUUGAGCGCUUGAUGAUGACGUCACUAGCGAGACACUUUUGUCACCAGGGACUGGGGAUAACGGAGCAAAAUGUAUGGCUGUUAGUGUGUGUAUCGGGGUUUCGAGUAACUCUUAAGAAUUUGAUAUAAAAAUGUUUUGUUUACUGGUUAUGGUCAAUUUUAGGGUUUGAUUUAACUUAGUUGAACAGUGUGUUCUGGCGGUUUUAGAUAGAACUCUUUGUUCCGGAACGGAUAAGAGUUACCCAAGAUAAGUAAAUUAAAGGAGCCAUGAGAGAAUGCGAAUGCAUAUUUAUUAAAUAUCGGGGAUUAAAUUACGGAUUCCUUACACUGUGAAAUGUACGACAUUUGCGGCAGAGAGAAAAAGUAAUGCAUUGGAUAAUAAUGUUAUCGGGUUAAUUGUAUCUAAAGGUAGCAUGGUCAUUUAAGUAAACAUAUCCGUAGACGAUGUUUAAAACUUAUGAUUAAUGAUUUGAGUCAAAGGGGAAUUAUCAUUAGGUUUUAGUUAUAGUUCACUUAUUGAGUUUCUGAUUCGAGGUAGCAUUAGUGAAUGAUAGUUAGGGGUGUGGUGGCUCACUUUUAGAGGCCUCCUGGGAUUAUAAUUUUGGGGGAGAGAGCAGCUUUAAACAACCAAAUUGAAAAAGGUCUGCAAAUUAUAUAUAUAUAUAAAACAACUGUUAGAAUGAUUUGUUUUAGUGCAAGGAGAUUUUAAAGAGGCACGCUCACAUAUGGAACCUUAUGAGGUGUUUUUUUUAUGGGUUUGAAUUAUACAGGUGACUAUUUCUAUUGUAAGGAUAAAGGGAUCUUUAUGUCUAAUAUGGUAUGGCCUUUUGACCUUAUCAUGACUGGCUUCUGAGGUCUGAUCAGCCUCAGAGGGGAGAGUCAUUUGUAUAAUGAAUGGGGUCAUAUUGAGUUACUAGUUUUAAGGUAAAUUCAUUAUAAAUGAAGCAGUUUUGGUUGAGGGUUUAGAAUUACUGUUUGAACCGCAAAUGAGAAAGUGGUUCAGGAUUCUGUCUUAUAACAUUAGCUGUGAAGUUUUUUUGAAUGGGCUAUUAGGGAGUUGGUAUUGUAACAGAGAGAAAGUCAUAUUCAUCAUUGAGAAUAAAUAGGGGAAGAGAACAUAUUUUGAGCCAACAGGGCAGGGAAGGAAUUGAGGUAUUUUUGUUUGAUUUUAACACCCGUGUACAGGAGUGUCAAAAGACGGGGGACAUUACCUGUGUAAUGGGGGAGGGUGUCCGUAUGGGGAUUACAUGAUAACCAACUUGGGACAGUUCUGGGACUGGAGAAGAGGAUAUCCUUAUGGCAUAGGGAAUCCCACAAAGGUGGAUAGGUUUUCCAUGAUAUGGGGGAAACCUGGGAGUACUGUUGAACUUUGUAAAGGUGAUGAAAUCCUACUAACCAUCAAAACUAUUAAGCUCUCUGAUGCAGGCACUUACACCCCCGGACUACAAAGGACCGGGACAGACACGGUGGGUGUGUUUUCUAUUAAGGUACUGCCAAAACCAGAGGUCUCACACGAACCAGGGCCGGACACACUCCUCUACCACCCAUGGACCGAACCUGCCACCACUGUGCUAAAAAUCCCAUUCAGGUAAUUAAUGUUAGACUAUUCAGCUAUUGAUCAAUUAGGCACGGAGACUGGUUUUGAUGGUAGGGACAAAUUGUGGCUGUCUUAUACAGAAUAGACUUGCUUAGGAUAUGCUUCUUACUAGUCAGGGGGGAGUCUGCAAGAUGUUCGGCGAACAAUGUUGUACGUAUAUCCCUAAUAACACCAGUCCAGAUGGUAGUAUAUCUAAGGGCCUUAAUGGGCUUGAUGCACUAUCUGCUGAGAUGAGGACCAUGGCGGGGGUAGAGGAGUCUGACUGUCCACCUGGUUGGGAGCCUGGUUUGGUAAGUAUACUGGUAUGGUGGUUACUGGAUUUCUGACCCUAAGUCUUGUAUUAUUUGUUAUUGAUGUGAUGUGCUGCUUGCAUCAUACCGUGUUUUAAGAAGUCUGUUACAGAUGUGGUGAGGGCUUCAGGCAUGAUGCCUUUGCUUGAUGCUCCAGUUGGAGAGGCUGAGGUGAAGCAUGCUUUGAGGGGAGGAUAAGACUGACUGAGGAUGACCCAUGUAUGUUUGUUCUCCCUGUCGUGAAGGGUGGCAUGGUGCCCACCUGGUGCAGGAUAAGAAUAGCUGAGAGGACCAGAUGGGUUAUAAGAAUGCUUUGUUCUGCUUUACUCUGUUUUACAGGACCAAAGUUUUAUUCCACACUUUGCAACACAUUAAAUCCAUGUUAUUGUCAGAUAGAAUACUGAGGGUCCCCAAGGAGAGGGCUUGUUAGUGUAGGAAGGAUUUUUAAUAUGGUUAGCAUUUAUUAGAUUAUACGUUUUUAAAUAGUAUUAUAUUUAACAGGAAUAUAGGACAUCUAUGAGGAGUUAGGAUUAUUGUUAGGAUUAAGAUAGAUUGAUUAAGGAAUUUGGAGAAAAGCCGCUCAUAGACAUGUUUUUUUUCUAAACGAGGGUCCAUGGGUUUGGAUGGAGCCAAACAGUGAGACAUUUAGUUCAAAUUUGGAAAACAUGAGAAACAUAGCUUUAGGCAGACAGAGGAGCCCUCCCCCGCACUGCAGAGACCUUGAAGGUUGGAGAGCAGAGAAGGUUUUAGAAGGGGGGCCAGGACGAGCAAAGAUAACAUAGUGAGUAGAUAAGUUACUGAGUGGAGACAAAAGUGAGAAUUGGACAUGUGGAAAAUGAAAGGGACACUCCUAAAUGGAAUUUCAGAUAUAAGGAUAAUUCACUAAAUCUUAUCUAAGUCAUUGUAUAAGAAUAAGGCAAGGUUGUUACCUGGGCAGAGCCAGGUAACAAAAGGGGGAUGGGUAAAUAGUGUUCUAGAAUAGGAUGUGACCUACGGGAUAAUUAACUAAUAAAAAAAAAAUUGUUAAUUGGUUUGACAAAUAAGAAACUGUUUUAUUAACCAAACCUGUAUGUCCAAGAGUUUAUGCACUACAGGUGAACUACAGGUGAAGACACUCAAUCCAGUCCCGUGGGCCACCCGGAUUCAUAUCGCACUGCGGGGGGGACUCUGGAGAGAUCAAUGACACUACAGAUGGUGCGUUAUGGGCCGAUUCCAGGUUCUGACCCAUGGAGGACUGAAGGCAUGUCUACAGAGGAAGUGGACGAAUCUGGAUCUGUCAUUUGUGGGGAAUAUAUGUUUGAUGAGAAUAGUGUUGAAAUGAAGGGGAAUUAGAUUGUAAUUUGUUUCAAUGAUUAAACUGUUUUUUAAUAAAGAUUGUAAAAAGAGAAAAAAAAAUCCUGAAAGAGGAGUUAUGAUUCUGAUGUAGGUUUAAAAACAGUUGGAGUUAAGGUGGGAUUGAUUGAUGAAAUGUGAAGAGUUGGAUAAACAUUUAUAAUUGAUUUGUUGAUUAUGUGUCUAUUCAUAUGAUAAUCUGAUAAACCUCUAUAAAAAGGUUAGUUAAGUUUGUUUAUACUUUCAUUUUUUAUGAUUAAAUAAAACUAGAUGUAGAAUUGAAUGUAGAAUAUUUGAUCAAAGGGAGGAUUGUUAGAGGAAAUUAUAGUUUAGAUGAUUAAUCAUGUAUACAUUAAUGAUUAGAACCAUUUAUUCUAAUACUAUUAUGUUAUGGUAUGAAAAGUAAAAGUUAUUGGUUAAGCUGUUACUGAAAAUGUAAGCAGAAUGAAUUAAUUGUCUGGGCCUCUUGGCAAGUUAACGGGAGGAGUGAGGUUAUGGCUUGUCCUACAGAUAAGAAAUGUCUGGAAGACGUUCCAGGCCUGAUGAACAAUGGGCCCUUGUGAGAAUCGGAGAGAGGGGGGAUAAACUGAUGAUGUCAUGUUCAGUUUAUAACCUGUGGAAAAAUGUGUAUGCUUCAGUACUCUCUGGAAUUAAACGCUCUUUACCUGGCUUUUAA
Molecule: long non-coding RNA, 9014 nt
Organism: Oncorhynchus nerka (sockeye salmon)
Lineage: Eukaryota; Metazoa; Chordata; Actinopteri; Salmoniformes; Salmonidae
Exons: 2
Source: RefSeq, a predicted model, not a curated record